This is a long non-coding RNA of Ruditapes philippinarum (Manila clam), 763 nucleotides long. RefSeq lists it as uncharacterized. The transcript is spliced from 4 exons. Lineage: Eukaryota; Metazoa; Mollusca; Bivalvia; Venerida; Veneridae. The record is from RefSeq and is a predicted model, not a curated record.
AAGCAAGUUCUUAAUAUUGAACAUUUGACUUUUUUUACUUUAGUAAUGGACAUCAAACAGAGACAGAAAGAUGAACAAAAGGUUCUUCAGCAGGAACUCAAGUCCCUCCCAAAAGGGGCAAGGGUAUACAAGCAACAACAGAAUAGUCAACUUUUCUUCAGAACUAGUAAAGACAAGGCUUUUGAGGGAUCUAAAAAAACAUUGGAUAGCUUAGUUCAAGAGUACCUAGAUGCUGAAAGACCUCCAGACUUAAAUGCAAAAUAGCACAUUCAGCAUGCGUGCAAUCAUCAUUAUGUUCAUAACAUCCAUACAUGUGAACUUUUUUUGAUGAUCAAGUGGGAGAUUUUUCUUCAAAAAGAGGGAAAUUUUAGAAUUUGAAAUAAACAAAGUAGGAAAUGCUGACACCAAAAGAAGGGAAAUUUCUUUAAUUUGUGAAAAUACACCUUAUUUUAAGCAAAAUCUUUGAAAAUAUGGCGACAGAAAGUGGGAUUUUCCUGCUGAAAAUGGGAGAGUUCACAUGCAUGAACAUCUGGGAGGGACAGUGAAACUCUAAGUUCCAUGGAUAAACAGUGAACACUGACGUUAAACACUUUGUUGUACAGACAAAUUCACCAUUCAUCAUGGUUACUAACACUUAAUGCUUUGUGACUUCAAAGAUGAAAGUCUUUAAAGUAUUUGUAACUAUGGUUACUAGGUUUUUGAGUUAAUCAUACAAAUCUGUGAUAAACAUUUUCUAAAGUUUGAUUUAAAGGUUCUGUUAUUA